UAAUACGAAGGGUGCAAGCGUUAGUCGGAAUUACUGGGCGUAAAGCGUGCGUAGGUGGUUUCUUAAGUCGGAUGUGAAAGCCCUGGGCUCAACCUGGGAAUGGCACUCGAUACUGGGAAGCUAGAGUGCGGUAGAGGAGGGUGGAAUUCCCGGUGUAGCGGUGAAAUGCGUAGAGAUCGGGAGGAACAUCAGUGGCGAAGGCGACCCUCUGGACCAGCACUGACGCUGAGGCACGAAAGCGUGGGGAGCAAACAGGAUUAGAUACCCUGGUAGUCCACGCCCUAAACGAUGCGAACUGGAUGUUGGGCUCAACUCGGAGCUCAGUGUCGAAGCUAACGCGUUAAGUUCGCCGCCUGGGGAGUACGCUCGCAAGAGUG
This 377-nucleotide ribosomal RNA is filed under the name uncultured bacterium. Its description in RNAcentral is "bacterial SSU rRNA". It matches the Rfam family "Bacterial small subunit ribosomal RNA", at positions 521 to 896 of the family's 1533-position model. The record is from RNAcentral.